UGACGGUACCCUUUCGAAUAAGAGGUUGCUAACUCUGUGCCAGCAGCAGCGGUAAUACAGAGACCUCGAGCGUUAUCCGGAUUUACUGGGCGUAAAGCGUCUGUAGGGGGUUUGUUAAGUUCCAAGUAAAAUCUUAAGGCUCAACUUUAAGUUCGCUUGGAAAACUAAUAAACUGGAGUCCAGCAGAGGUGCAUGGAACUUGCGGUGUAGGAGUGAAAUCCGUUGAUAUCGCAAGGAACACCAAAGGCGAAGGCAUUGCACUGGGCUGGUACUGACCCUGAGAGACGAAAGCGUGGGGAGCAAAACGGAUUAGAUACCCGUGUAGUCCACGCCGUAAACGAUGGAUACUAGAUGUUCGGGGAUUCGACCCCCUGGGUGUCACAGCUAACGCGUUAAGUAUCCCGCCUGGGAAGUACGGCCGCAAGGCUAAAACUCAAAGGAAUAGACGGGGAUCCGCACAAGCGGUGGAGCGUCUGGUUUAAUUUGAUAGUAAGCAAUGGACCUCACCAAGGUUUGACAUCCUAUGACAACCCUGGAAACAGGGCUUCCUUCGGGCAUAGUGACAGGUGCUGCAUGGUCGUCGUCAGUUCGUGCCGUGAGGUGUUCCGUUAAGUCGGGAAACGAACGAAACCCUCGUCGCAUGUUACAAAUUUCAUGCGAGACUGCCCGGGUCAACCGGGAGGAAGGCGGGGAUGACGUCAGAUCAGCAUGGCCCUUAUACCUUGGGCUACACAGGCGCUACAAUGGCCGGUACAAAGGGUUGCAAAACCGCGAGGUGAAGCUAAUCCCAUAAAGCCGGUCCAAGUUCGGAUUGGAGGCUGCAACUCGCCUCCAUGAAGUUGGAAUCGCUAGUAAUCGUGGAUCAGCCAUACCACGGUGAAUACGUUCCCGGAUCUUGUACUCACCGCCCGUCACACCAAGAGAGUUGGUAGCUCAUGAAGCGUCGCAUUAG
This 952-nucleotide ribosomal RNA is filed under the name uncultured organism. Its description in RNAcentral is "bacterial SSU rRNA". It matches the Rfam family "Bacterial small subunit ribosomal RNA", at positions 470 to 1438 of the family's 1533-position model. The record is from RNAcentral.